Molecule: ribosomal RNA, 253 nt
Filed under: uncultured bacterium
Lineage: Bacteria
Description: partial 16S ribosomal RNA
Rfam family: Bacterial small subunit ribosomal RNA
Source: RNAcentral
UACGAAGGGGGCUAGCGUUGUUCGGAAUUACUGGGCGUAAAGGGUGCGUAGGCGGCACAGCAAGUCGGGAGUGAAAGCCCGGGGCUCAACCCCGGAAUGGCUUUCGAAACUGCUGAGCUAGAGUACAGAAGGGGCAACCGGAAUUCCCAGUGUAGCGGUGAAAUGCGUAGAUAUUGGGAAGAACACCUGAGGCGAAGGCGGGUUGCUGGGCUGAUACUGACGCUGAGGCGCGAAAGCCAGGGGAGCAAACGGG